UACGGAGGAUCCGAGCGUUAUCCGGAUUUAUUGGGUUUAAAGGGUGCGCAGGCGGGAGAAUUAAGUCGGCGGUGAAAUUUUGCAGCUUAACUGUAAAAGUGCCAUCGAUACUGGUUUCCUUUGAGUGUAGAUGAAGUAGGCGGAAUUUGUGGUGUAGCGGUGAAAUGCAUAGAUAUCACGAGGAACUCCGAUUGCGCAGGCAGCUUACUAAACUACUACUGACGCUCAGGCACGAAGGCGUGGGGAUCAAACAGGAUUAGAUACCCGCGUA
RNAcentral lists this ribosomal RNA (271 nucleotides) under uncultured prokaryote. Its description in RNAcentral is "partial 16S ribosomal RNA". It matches the Rfam family "Bacterial small subunit ribosomal RNA", at positions 524 to 792 of the family's 1533-position model. The record is from RNAcentral.